Long non-coding RNA from Fukomys damarensis (Damara mole-rat), 988 nucleotides. RefSeq lists it as uncharacterized. NCBI's taxonomy places the organism in Eukaryota, Metazoa, Chordata, Mammalia, Rodentia, Bathyergidae. The transcript has 3 exons. The record is from RefSeq and is a predicted model, not a curated record.
CCUUUUUAUACUUUUCUAAGUCAUUCGCUAUCAAAGGAUUUUAAUACAUAAAUCUCAAUUGCUUGACAUUCCAAACCAUAUAAGACACACAUCAGAACUUUGAGAUUGAAAGGUUCAUAAGGAUUUUGAAGAAGGAAAUGUAUCCCUUAACAACUUGCAGAAGGUAUGAGGUAGAAAUGGCAGAAGACUACUUGAUUAAGCACUCCUCCCAUACUAAAUAGGGAGUUGGCGAUAGGUCAGCUUCUAGCAACUGUAGUAGUCUUCAACCCUAAUAGAAGUUCUUUUAGCCGGCUCAGCUCCCAGACAUGUGGUAUCACAUUGCUAGGUCAAAGUGCAAGCUGGAUGCCAUUCUCUAUUGCCACCAGCAGGGGCAGUGUUGGGCCUCCAGGCCAGGGCUCCUCUGUCCACUGGGAAAUUCUCAGUUCCCUUCCGGUCCUCUUUCCGUUCCUAGGGAGAACUUCCGGGAGCAACAGAAAUAACCAGGAUCCAGCUACCAUCUCUCUCGGGUUUGUCCAUCCACGUAAUUCUCAGUUCGGAGUCAAAUGUCAUUGGAUGUUGAAUUCUGUUGCCCGUUUUUUUUUUUUUUUUUCUUUUCCUUUCUGCAUGGAAAGCAUCCUUCUCCGUUAUUAAUGGUUUCCUGGAUUCCAUUGUGAAGGCGGCCAUCAUGAGAGAAUCCUUCCCAGAGAGUAUUGGAAGGUUGCUGAUCCAUUUUCACCAUUUCUCCAAGUAUAGUUUGAAACAGUAACUGUCAGAUUCCAGAGACAUCAGGUACCUGUGAUGCUGAAAUGCGUCUGUGCUUUUGGGAUUGAAUCAAAUCAGCCUGUAUUUAAACAGCUGUCCCUUAUGGGGGAUGUAUAUGAUGAGACACUGCUGGUGAGCACUUGGACUCAUUUGACUUCUUGAAUUGAAAAAGGAACUGGCACAGAUCUCCAAGCCGUGGCAGCAAUGGCAUCAUCCAGAGUCUGUCUAUAGUGGUAGUAUUUUUGGU